AACGAACGCUGGCGGCAUGCCUAACACAUGCAAGUCGAACGAGACCUUCGGGUCUUGUGGCGCACGGGUGCGUAACGCGUGGGAACCUGCCUUUAGGUUCGGAAUAACUCAGAGAAAUUUGAGCUAAUACCGGAUGAUGUCUUCGGACCAAAGAUUUAUCGCCUUUAGAUGGGCCCGCGUUGGAUUAGCUUGUUGGUGGGGUAAAGGCCUACCAAGGCGACGAUCCAUAGCUGGUCUGAGAGGAUGAUCAGCCACACUGGGACUGAGACACGGCCCAGACUCCUACGCGAGGCAGCAGUGGGGAAUAUUGGACAAUGGGCGAAAGCCUGAUCCAGUAAUGCCGCGUGAGUGAUGAAGGCCUUAGGGUUGUAAAGCUCUUUUACCCGAGAUGAUAAUGACAGUAUCGGGAGAAUAAGCUCCGGCUAACUCCGUG
This 433-nucleotide ribosomal RNA is filed under the name uncultured bacterium. RNAcentral describes it as "partial 16S ribosomal RNA". It matches the Rfam family "Bacterial small subunit ribosomal RNA", at positions 29 to 507 of the family's 1533-position model. The record is from RNAcentral.